UAGUAUAAAAAUAGAUCUCCUUUUACAUGUUCCCACUUCCCAGAUUCCUCUUCUUUCAUUUUUUAUCUCCGCCUCUCUCUCCAGACAAUCUUCUCUCUCUCACAAUCCGAGUUAUCUUCUUUCAUUCGAUUCAUGCUAUGAAACAAUAAAUCGAAUUUCUGUUCUCAGCAAGAAGAAUCGUGAGCCUAGAUCGAAAGCAACCCAAACAACCCAAUCUUUCAUCAGAAAUCAAAAACCUUACCUCAAAAUCGAAACCCAUGUAUCAGCAUAAAUCAAAGGCAAAAAAUUCUAAAUUUUAACCCAAUAUCGACUUAUUUUGCUCCUGAAAUCAUCAGGUAAGGUGUUUCGUUUUCUAUUUUUGGGAUCUCUUCUCCUAGUGUUGAGGAAAUCAUCUGCAACUUCAUAAGGAAGGGUAUAGCCGCAUCAUAGAUUGGUAUGAGUUCCAUAAUUCUCAUGGGUUCAGAAGAAUUGGUUGUUAGAGAAGAUAUUGAGAUGAUACUGAACUUCAUUACUACUGAUUAGAUGUGUUGUACCUCCGCAUGCUGAGAUAGCACUUAGUGGUAUUGAAGUUUUUUCUUCUUUAGGGGUUUAUAUGUACAGUAAUCACGAAAUGGGUGUACGCAGUUGCGUAGUUGUUAAUGGGGAUGUGGUUGCUCAAGUGUCUCAACUUUUUUUAAGGAUGUCGAGGUUUGGGUUGGUCAAGUUGAUCUGGAUGCAUUCAGGCGCGGCAAAGUCGCAUUCUAGUUACAAGCCGCCAAAAUCGGUUGAUGUUUCUAAGGAUGGUGUUAUACAUAAAGAACUGAAUUCCUGACAACCGUCCUGUAUCUAUUAGGUACUAGUUCAUUGAGGGUAGGAACUGAAUUCCUGUCAGCUGCAGAGUCUAUCGGCAUCUGGUUCAUUGUUCAUCACUUAUUAGUUUCUUGUGAUGCUAGUACUACUUUUCAUCUUAAUUAGUAUGGUUUUUGCUCUUCGUUUUUCUAUCUUUUGAUUUGUUCCAGAAACACGAGAGAGAAAUCUAUGGAUACGAAGUUGCAUUAGAAUGUUAAUGCAAUUGUAGAACUUGUCAAAGAUAACCACCUGUUUAGUUGAAAUUCUGCGAUGAGAGUAAACACAAACUUGCGGGAUUUAUUUUGUACGAGGUUUUCUUUUAUUCUUAUUGGGAAGUAUCGUUAUUUGCAUGCCUGUAUUCCAACCAUUAUAAUUUAUAUAUCCUCUCUUAAGCACAACUUGAAUGUAGAACGAUAUGAACUAAACUCUUAGAAGCAGAACCACGUGUAACAACUCUUGGAUGAUAUUGGACUAGAACGAUCUAAACUCUACAAAGGCAAAGCAAAGUUGGAAUGGCUGAAGAGUAAAAUCGUCCAAAGAAAUCACUUCUCCUUGCAUGAACAAUUAAAACCAGAAAAUGAAGCUAGCUGAAAUACUUCUGCUAUGAGGAUCCAAGUGGUGGAGCAGUGAAGAGCUUAAAGGCUCUUAUGAAGCAUAUCGAGAGUAUGGGAAUCCUAUGUUUUUUUUCCUUGUAUUUUCUUUGUAACUUAUGUACAAAAUUUUUAUCAGAGAAACAAAUUUGGAACUUCGUUGUUUGUUGAAGUAGCACACGCAAUUGAGUGUUUAUGUAAUGGGCAUUCAAAUUCU
Long non-coding RNA from Papaver somniferum (opium poppy), 1635 nucleotides. RefSeq lists it as uncharacterized. Lineage: Eukaryota; Viridiplantae; Streptophyta; Magnoliopsida; Ranunculales; Papaveraceae. The record is from RefSeq and is a predicted model, not a curated record. The transcript has 9 exons.